GCAUAACGCGAAGAACCUUACCUGGGUUUGACAUGCACAGGACGCCGGCAGAGAUGUCGGUUCCCUUGUGGCCUGUGUGCAGGUGGUGCAUGGCUGUCGUCAGCUCGUGUCGUGAGAUGUUGGGUUAAGUCCCGCAACGAGCGCAACCCUUGUCUCAUGUUGCCAGCACGUGAUGGUGGGGACUCGUGAGAGACUGCCGGGGUCAACUCGGAGGAAGGUGGGGAUGACGUCAAGUCAUCAUGCCCCUUAUGUCCAGGGCUUCACACAUGCUACAAUGGCCGGUACAAAGGGCUGCGAUGCCGUGAGGUGGAGCGAAUCCUUUCAAAGCCGGUCUCAGUUCGGAUCGGGGUCUGCAACUCGACCCCGUGAAGUCGGAGUCGCUAGUAAUCGCAGAUCAGCAACGUUGCGGUGAAUACGUUCCCGGGUCUUGUACACACCG
This 439-nucleotide ribosomal RNA is filed under the name uncultured bacterium. RNAcentral describes it as "bacterial SSU rRNA". It matches the Rfam family "Bacterial small subunit ribosomal RNA", at positions 954 to 1392 of the family's 1533-position model. The record is from RNAcentral.